RNAcentral lists this ribosomal RNA (486 nucleotides) under uncultured bacterium. RNAcentral's name for it is "bacterial SSU rRNA". It matches the Rfam family "Bacterial small subunit ribosomal RNA", at positions 28 to 511 of the family's 1533-position model. The record is from RNAcentral.
GAUGAACGCUGGCGGCGUGCUUAACACAUGCAAGUCGAACGAAGCAUUUACGACAGAUUUCUUCGGAUUGAAGUUGUUUAUGACUGAGUGGCGGACGGGUGAGUAACGCGUGGGUAACCUGCCUUGUACUGGGGGAUAGCAGCUGGAAACGGCUGGUAAUACCGCAUAAGCGCACAAUGUUGCAUGACAUAGUGUGAAAAACUCCGGUGGUAUAAGAUGGACCCGCGUCUGAUUAGCUAGUUGGUGAGGUAACGGCCCACCAAGGCGACGAUCAGUAGCCGGCCUGAGAGGGUGAACGGCCACAUUGGGACUGAGACACGGCCCAGACUCCUACGGGAGGCAGCAGUGGGGAAUAUUGCACAAUGGGCGCAAGCCUGAUGCAGCAACGCCGCGUGGAGGAAGACGGUUUUCGGAUUGUAAACUCCUGUUCUUAGUGAAGAAUAAUGACGGUAGCUAAGGAGCAAGCCACGGCUAACUACGUGCCAG